Molecule: ribosomal RNA, 389 nt
Filed under: uncultured bacterium
Lineage: Bacteria
Description: bacterial SSU rRNA
Rfam family: Bacterial small subunit ribosomal RNA
Source: RNAcentral
GACGAACGCUGGCGGCGUGCUUAACACAUGCAAGUCGAGCGGUAAGGCCCUUUCGGGGGUACACGAGCGGCGAACGGGUGAGUAACACGUGGGUGACCUGCCCUCAGCUCUGGGAUAAGCCUGGGAAACCGGGUCUAAUACCGGAUAUGACUCCAUGACGCAUGUUGUGGGGUGGAAAGCCUUGUGCGGCUGAGGAUGGGGCCCGCGGCCUAUCAGCUUGUUGGUGGGGUGANGGCCUACCAAGGCGACGACGGGUAGCCGGCCUGAGAGGGCGACCGGCCACACUGGGGCUGAGACACGGCCCAGACUCCUACGGGAGGCAGCAGUGGGGAAUCUUGCGCAAUGGGCGAAAGCCUGACGCAGCGACGCCGCGUGAGGGAUGACGGCCU